UCAUUUAAAGAAAGCGUAAUAGCUCACUGGUCGAGUCGGCCUGCGCGGAAGAUGUAACGGGGCUAAACCAUGCACCGAAGCUGCGGCAGCGACACUAUGUGUUGUUGGGUAGGGGAGCGUUCUGUAAGCCUGUGAAGGUGUACUGUGAGGUAUGCUGGAGGUAUCAGAAGUGCGAAUGCUGACAUAAGUAACGAUAAAGCGGGUGAAAAGCCCGCUCGCCGGAAGACCAAGGGUUCCUGUCCAACGUUAAUCGGGGCAGGGUGAGUCGACCCCUAAGGCGAGGCCGAAAGGCGUAGUCGAUGGGAAACAGGUUAAUAUUCCUGUACUUGGUGUUACUGCGAAGGGGGGACGGAGAAGGCUAUGUUGGCCGGGCGACGGUUGUCCCGGUUUAAGCGUGUAGGCUGGUUUUCCAGGCAAAUCCGGAAAAUCAAGGCUGAGGCGUGAUGACGAGGCACUACGGUGCUGAAGCGACAAAUGCCCUGCUUCCAGGAAAAGCCUCUAAGCAUCAGGUAACAUCAAAUCGUACCCCAAACCGACACAGGUGGUCAGGUAGAGAAUACCAAGGCGCUUGAGAGAACUCGGGUGAAGGAACUAGGCAAAAUGGUGCCGUAACUUCGGGAGAAGGCACGCUGAUAUGUAGGUGAAGCGACUUGCUCGUGGAGCUGAAAUCAGUCGAAGAUACCAGCUGGCUGCAACUGUUUAUUAAAAACACAGCACUGUGCAAACACGAAAGUGGACGUAUACGGUGUGACGCCUGCCCGGUGCCGGAAGGUUAAUUGAUGGGGUUAGCGGUAACGCGAAGCUCUUGAUCGAAGCCCCGGUAAACGGCGGCCGUAACUAUAACGGUCCUAAGGUAGCGAAAUUCCUUGUCGGGUAAGUUCCGACCUGCACGAAUGGCGUAAUGAUGGCCAGGCUGUCUCCACCCGAGACUCAGUGAAAUUGAACUCGCUGUGAAGAUGCAGUGUACCCGCGGCAAGACGGAAAGACCCCGUGAACCUUUACUAUAGCUUGACACUGAACAUUGAGCCUUGAUGUGUAGGAUAGGUGGGAGGCUUUGAAGUGUGGACGCCAGUCUGCAUGGAGCCGACCUUGAAAUACCACCCUUUAAUGUUUGAUGUUCUAACGUGGGCCCCUUACCGGGGUUGCGGACAGUGUCUGGUGGGUAGUUUGACUGGGGCGGUCUCCUCCUAAAGAGUAACGGAGGAGCACGAAGGUUGGCUAAUCCUGGUCGGACAUCAGGAGGUUAGUGCAAUGGCAUAAGCCAGCUUGACUGCGAGCGUGACGGCGCGAGCAGGUGCGAAAGCAGGUCAUAGUGAUCCGGUGGUUCUGAAUGGAAGGGCCAUCGCUCAACGGAUAAAAGGUACUCCGGGGAUAACAGGCUGAUACCGCCCAAGAGUUCAUAUCGACGGCGGUGUUUGGCACCUCGAUGUCGGCUCAUCACAUCCUGGGGCUGAAGUAGGUCCCAAGGGUAUGGCUGUUCGCCAUUUAAAGUGGUACGCGAGCUGGGUUUAGAACGUCGUGAGACAGUUCGGUCCCUAUCUGCCGUGGGCGCUGGAGAACUGAGGGGGGCUGCUCCUAGUACGAGAGGACCGGAGUGGACGCAUCACUGGUGUUCGGGUUGUCAUGCCAAUGGCACUGCCCGGUAGCUAAAUGCGGAAGAGAUAAGUGCUGAAAGCAUCUAAGCACGAAACUUGCCCCGAGAUGAGUUCUCCCUGACUCCUUGAGAGUCCUGAAGGAACGUUGAAGACGACGACGUUGAUAGGCCGGGUGUGUAAGCGCAGCGAUGCGUUGAGCUAACCGGUACUAAUGAACCGUGAGGCUUAACCUU
This 1828-nucleotide ribosomal RNA is filed under the name Escherichia coli. RNAcentral's name for it is "partial 23S ribosomal RNA". It matches the Rfam family "Bacterial large subunit ribosomal RNA", at positions 1119 to 2925 of the family's 2925-position model. The record is from RNAcentral. Lineage: Bacteria; Pseudomonadati; Pseudomonadota; Gammaproteobacteria; Enterobacterales; Enterobacteriaceae.